UACGUAGGGUGCAAGCGUUGUCCGGAAUUAUUGGGCGUAAAGAGCUCGUAGGCGGUUUGUCGCGUCGAAUGUGAAAACCCGGGGCUCAACCCCGGGCCUGCAUUCGAUACGGGCAGACUAGAGUUCGGUAGGGGAGUCUGGAAUUCCUGGUGUAGCGGUGAAAUGCGCGGAUAUCAGGAGGAACACCGGUGGCGAAGGCGGGACUCUGGGCCGAUACUGACGCUGAGGAGCGAAAGCGUGGGGAGCGAACAGG
This 253-nucleotide ribosomal RNA is filed under the name uncultured bacterium. RNAcentral's name for it is "partial 16S ribosomal RNA". It matches the Rfam family "Bacterial small subunit ribosomal RNA", at positions 524 to 776 of the family's 1533-position model. The record is from RNAcentral.